This 4849-nucleotide long non-coding RNA is filed under the name Xyrichtys novacula (pearly razorfish). Lineage: Eukaryota; Metazoa; Chordata; Actinopteri; Labriformes; Labridae. The record is from RNAcentral.
GUUGCCCAGUCAUGUCUGUCUUCAGCCACUGUUUCCUCCAGCUUUUUUAAGGUCAUGGGCUCUUUUCUCUGAGAGAUCAAGUCAAUCGCGGCGGGGUCAGAGAGGCACCGCCACAGGCCCCUUCAGGCUGAAAGCAGAUGAGAAGCUCUGCUACAGGUGAGGGGACAAACACUCAGGCAUAGUCUCCUUUUUUCAAUGUGAAUCAGCACUUUUUAAAUCUUUGGGAUUAAAGCUAAACACUAAAAUCAUCUAAGACCCUCAGGGUACACUAUACUAUGACCUUUGUUUCAUCCUAAAAUCUGAUAUUUUUUACAUUACAUUCUAUUUUAUCUUUUUCAUACUAUGAUGUGAAAUUUUUAUUAUACUAUACCUUGCCUUUUAUCACACUAUACUAUGAUAUGUUUGUCAUACUAUACAAUACAUUUUUUAUCUUACUAUUCUAUGACAUUUUUAUCAUACUAAAGUAUGACAUUUCUUAUCAAACUAUACUGACUUUUUUAAAACAAAAAAAAUGAAAUUUCUAUCAUAUUAUACUCCAAAAUUUUAUCAUACUAUAAUAUGACAUUUCUUCAAUUCUUUACGAAGAAAUUUUUAUGUUACUUUUAUACGAUGAUAUUUUUAUCAUUCUAUACUAGGACUUUUUUUGUUACAAAAAAUUGAAAUUUUUGACAUACAAUACUAUGACAUUUUUUAACAUACUAUACUAUGUCAUUUUUUUUAUCAUACUAUACUAAGACAUCUUUUUAUCAAACUCUACUUUCACUUUUUUAUAUUUAAAUUGAAAACUUUAACAUAAAAUUCUAUGACUUUUUUUAAACAUACUAUACUAUGACUUUUUUAUCAUACUUUACUAUAAUAUUUUUUAUACUAAAAAAUUAAAUUUCUAUCAGACUAUACUACGCCAUUUUUAUCAUACUAUAUUGAGACAUUUCUUCAAUUUUUACUGCAAAAUUUUUACGUUGUUUUAUCUUGUUUUUUACAUGCACACCAGACUGGGAUUUGAACCCAUGACAUUUAGUUGUGAGGCAACAGUGUGAACCAUGACACUAUUCUCACGACCAUUCUGCAGUAGAUCUUUUUCUCACACUAUGUUUUUGAAACAUACUAUACUAUUUUUUUAAUCAUACUAGAGUAAUACAUUUUUGUUACAAAAAAUUGAAAUUUUUAACAUACAAUACUAUGACAGUUUUAACUUACUAUACUAUGACAUUUUUUUAUCAUACUAAACUAUGCUUUUUAUCAAACUACACUGUUUUCUUUCAUAGUAACAAAUUGAAGUUUUUAACAUACUAUAACAAGACAUUUUUUAUCGUACUAUACUAUGACAAUUUUGUUAUCAUACUAUACCAUGUUUUUUUUUUUAUCAAACUUCACUGUUUUUUUCAUACUUAAGAUGUGAAGUUUUAAACAUACUAUACCAUGACAUUUUUUUUAUCAUACUAUACUAUGACAUUUUUAUCAUACUAUAAUAUGACAUUCUUUAAUUCUUUACAAAGAAAUUUUUAUGUUAGUUCAUAAUGAUGACAAUAAUUACUUUUUUUUUUUUGAAGUAUGUUUUCUACAAUGCACACCAGGCUGGGAUUUGAACCCAUGAUAUUUAGUCAUGAGGCAACAGUGUUAACCAUUACACUAUUCUUGUGACUGGUUCACAGUAGAUCUUUUUCUUACACAAUGUUUUUAAACAUACUAUACUAUGAUUUUUUUUUCAUACUAGACUAUUACAUUUUUGUUACUAAAAAUUGAAAAUUUUGACUUACAAUACUAUGACAUUUUUUAACUUACUAUACUAUGACAUUUUUUUUUAUCAUACUAUACGACGUUUUUAUCAAACUAUAAUAUGCUUUUUUUCAUACUAAAAUAAUUGAAGUUUUUAUCAUACUAUACCAUGAAAAUCUUAAUCAUACUUUACUAUGACAUAUUUUAUCAUAGUUAAAUUGAUUAUUUAUUGUAGAACAUUUUUAAUUAUACUAUACAAGGACAUUUUUUCAUCAUACUCUACUUUUACUUUUUUCAUAUUUAAUUUGAAAUUUUUGACAAAAUACUAUGACAUUUUUGAACAUACUAUACUAUGACAUUUUUUAUCAUACUUUACUAUGACAUUUUUUUAUCAUAGUAAAAUGGAUAAUUUAUAGUAGAACAUUUUUUAAUGUACUAUACUAUGACAGUUUUUUCAUACUAAAAAUUUAAAUUUCGAUGAUACUAUACUACAACAUUUUUAUCAUACUAUAAUAUGACAUUAUUUAUUUCUUUACUAUGAAGUAUAUUACUAUUAUUAUUAACUCUUAAAGUUUAUUAACUUAAACCCCCUUAGACGGGCUCUGCUAAAUUUCACAUAUUUAUCCAUGUCCUUAUACGUCCACUGAGGUGGUGGCAUGACACGGCUGGGGCCUGUUGGGACCCCGUGGGGAGCUAGUUAUCCAUUUGUUCUUACAGGGGCUUUUCCUGCUUAAAGUCUCCCUCCAGUGGAGGAGCAGAGUACAACAAACACCAUGAUUUAACACCACUCAAAGAUGCACAAGUGCAGAGUGUUGUGUCCACAGUAAAGCUGCCUUGUGCAGAAACUCAGCCCCUCAGCAGCUCCCUGACUGUGCAGGUGGAGAUUAAAGACACUCAGAGAGUGGUGAUGCCAAACUUGGCAGGCAGAGUGACUGCCUGGCCUCGGAGGAUCCUUCAUUUCUCCACUCGCUGGUCUUUAUUCUUCAGGAUGCCAGAGACAAAUCCAUUCCAAGACACAUUUAUAAAAGCUCUCUUGCUGAGUUUUGCACUUUCCUGCAGUCUGAUUUUUAAAGGCUUAAAGGGAUGAAUUAUGGUUUUUCGUACUUUUCUUUAAAACUUUUCAAAUCUCACGCACUUUCAUUCUUCAACAGAGAACAGGGAAUUUUUUUAGCUUCAUUCUCUGGAUCUUUGUGAUACAUUUUUACCAAAGUCUGGACUGAAUCAGGGAAGAAGAUGACAGGGUUUAUGCAGCUAGUGUGUAAGACAAACUAUGGAUGAAUAUAAAACUCUGAACUGUAAUAACCCAGAACAGUGAUCAACUCUCUGAAGUCUAGGCUUUCUGUGUAUUUAAAUGUUGUAGGUUUCACAAAGGAAUGUGUGAGUUUGGUGCAAACAUGGUCUAAAAAAGCUGAAUUGAAAAAAAUGAAUUAAAUUAUGUACUUCCGGGCACAGAAAACAGAGUUUAAAAGGUACCACUUUGUCCAAAGGUGGCGCCAAAUUUGAGACAAAGUUUCUGUUGGAACUUGGAAAGACAUUAGUUAAACUGAAAUGACUUCAAAAUAAGAUAAACUGUGAAUUUCAAAAUGAAGCCUUGAUUCAGACCUUCAGGCUCCUGAAACGAACUAUCAGACCACGUGGUGAGUUUGGCGCCCUCCUGUGGACUAAGUGGUAUCUUUUAUCGCUGCUGAUUUUGUCUGGUACAUGAGACAGCAAUGUUUUCAUUACAAAAAACCCUCCUGAUUUCCAGUUGACUUAUUAAUUGCAUUUGAAAAUGUUGAACUGCUUCUCUGCUGUAUGUGGUUUAUCACUUCAUUGGCUGCAGGGAUUUCAGACACUAAAAACAACUAUAGAGAGAGUCAGUCUUGAUGUUUGAUGGUCUGGUUUGCCUUUGUACAUCUUGAGGUGUCAUCAAUAUUGAUAACAGUCUCUUCUGUAGCCAGUUUAAAACUCCUUAUAGUAGCUUUAAACAGAUUUAUAGAUGAGCACAGAGACAGUUUACCCUUGUAGAGAUAAAUUAACCAACUGUGACAUUAAUCAGCACAGUCAAGCACACAAAUGAUACAGAUUAAAGUAAAAUAUCUGUUGAAGUUUGCUUCCAAGGCAUUUGAGUCACAGCAUAAUCCCAAAUGUGAACUUUUGUUGCUCCACAAAGAUGCUCAGGAAUUCAUCUACCUGUGAGACCUGAGGAGGAGAAUAUUUCUCUUGCUAAUUAGAUGCUCCUCCAUGUGGAGUCCCCUCUGACCAAUUACUGCUCGGCCCAGACAGUCGGUGUCCAGGAGCUCAGGAGGCAGGAGCCCUGCAGACAGCACGCCGACUGAAGGAGAAAUACAAGCAGUGUGUCCUUCUGCUUCACUGCUUCUGGUGGCAUUAGCUUAAUUCUCUCCUCCACCGGGGAACAUUUACACCUCUGCUCCUGAUUACCUCCUUGGGGAUAUCAGAUGUGAGCGGUCUGUUGGAGCCAAGAUUGCACUCUGCAGAGGGUUUGGACAUGCUCUGCCUGCUGCCUCCCUGUGUGAUUUUCCCAAAGAAAUUAAAAUUUGACACAGUGAAACUAAAUCCCAAUCACCCAUUAAAACACUGCUUCACUUCACUGCUGCUAAGAUACUGUUGACAAGAUUUAAUAGAGUAAGGUACCAUCGUUUUCAAGGCUUGAACCUGUCCUUAAAAUGAUCUAUAUAUGACCAAAUCAAACAUCAACGUCACCAUGAAAACAAAUCAUCUAGAAAGGGAUGCUGCAGGUAGGCUGCACUACCAUUUCUGUCCAGAUGAGGGCAGCAUAGCUUCAGAUAUAACACCUCUUAACACUCCUUCAUGAACAGAAAUCUCUAUACAACACAUCUGUGCAUUAUGCUGUGCAGUUUCCUGUGAGGCAAAAUGAAUCUAAAAAUGGAAAUGAUGGGUUUGUUUAUUUUAAUCCUGCAGAUGUGAAGCAGUACCGGCGCUGCAAAAUACGUCAGAUAUGAAAAACAUAAGAAGUGCAUCAUUGUGGAGUCUGCAAACUGGAUGAGUGGACAUGAUUUGUAGAUGUGCAUGUGUGUGCAGGUUUGAACACAGAUGGAUGAUUUGUGAUGGUGCAAAUGCAAUUCUUUGACCCCCCAAUUUUUUUUUGAGGAGGGUUGCUGAAUGUCUUGAA